AACGAACGCUGGCGGCGUGCCUAACACAUGCAAGUCGAACGCGAAAGGGGCGAACUCCCGGUAGCGUGGCAGACGGGUGAGUAACACGUGGGUAACCUACCCGGAGGUGGGGAUAACCCUUCGAAAGGAGGGCUAAUACCGCAUGACACCGCGGGGACCUCGGUCCUUGCGAUCAAAGCUGGCCUCUGUUUACAAGCUAGCGCCACCGGAUGGGCCCGCGCCCCACUUAG
Molecule: ribosomal RNA, 230 nt
Filed under: uncultured bacterium
Lineage: Bacteria
Description: partial 16S ribosomal RNA
Rfam family: Bacterial small subunit ribosomal RNA
Source: RNAcentral